UACGUAGGGUCCGAGCGUUGUCCGGAAUUAUUGGGCGUAAAGGGCUCGUAGGCGGUUCGUCACGUCGGGAGUGAAAACUCGGAGCUUAACUCCGAGCCUGCUUCCGAUACGGGCAGACUAGAGGUAGGCAGGGGAGAGCGGAACUCCUGGUGUAGCGGUGGAAUGCGCAGAUAUCAGGAAGAACACCAGCGGCGAAGGCGGCACUCUGGGCCGGAACUGACGCUGAGGAGCGAAAGCGUGGGUAGCAAACAGG
This 253-nucleotide ribosomal RNA is filed under the name uncultured bacterium. RNAcentral describes it as "partial 16S ribosomal RNA". It matches the Rfam family "Bacterial small subunit ribosomal RNA", at positions 524 to 776 of the family's 1533-position model. The record is from RNAcentral.